This is a long non-coding RNA of Ruditapes philippinarum (Manila clam), 826 nucleotides long. RefSeq lists it as uncharacterized. NCBI's taxonomy places the organism in Eukaryota, Metazoa, Mollusca, Bivalvia, Venerida, Veneridae. The transcript is spliced from 3 exons. The record is from RefSeq and is a predicted model, not a curated record.
AUCGAAUUGUUCUUAAUUUAUUGGAAAUAUGGAUUAUUGAUAGUUGAAGUUACAGCAGAGAGAGAUAGAGUUUGACAGUAUGCGUGUUUGAAGAAGAUAAUGCUUUUAUUGGUACAUUCAAUUCCACGAACUGAGUGUUGAUUUCCUCGAUUUCAUUGACUUGAUGAUUCAUUCUCUGAUUUAUUCUAAUGAUCAAUCAACUUAUUGAUUUACUGAUUGAUUGGACAUGUCAUGGAGCUUAAUAUAGAUGUAGAAGUAACUUAGACGUCAUACAGUUAAAUUCAGUAUUAUUGGGGUUGUUCUAGUGCAAGUUAUCAUGUGUUUCGGGAUUUUCCAAGAUUUGAUGCAUCCUGGGUAAUAGUAGCCAAAAUACCGCCAUAUUCAAUUCGAAGAGGAAUAUUGACAAAAAAAGACGAAGCAUUUUCUACUUACAUAAGAAGCAAUAGUUAUUUAUGUUAAAACGUACCAUACACACUUUUCCACACAGAUAUUUCUCAAAAAAAAAAAUGUCGGCAAUGUAAACAGUAGUUCAUGGAUAUCGCCGAGGUUUAACGAGAGUGCGAGAAUCGGGGGUUAGUGGGAAAACACGAUUAUCACCGAAGCGCACUGUGGAUCUGAAUCUGACUAUCAACUAUUUUCUGAGCUUCCUAUCCAUUGUAUAUAAAUAUCUGUGGACAUGUAAGACGAAUAUAUGUGAACUGUAAGAUGUUGAAAUGUGCCAUGUUGUUUGUUUAGAUGAGAAAUACACAAUUUUGGAAGAAACUUUUUGUUUGAAUGAUAAAGGUAUAAACACUAUUUGUAAAUGAACAUCAGGCUACCAUUUUCA